CGGGCAUCCCUGCAAGCCCUUAUCGUGGCAGGACUCGAUCAUGCUGUGGGACAAGCUCCUUAGCGUAAAGCGCAAGGGUAUGAUGCGGGGAAGGCAGGUAAAAUAACUGCCCU
This is a regulatory RNA element of Paenibacillus sp. TCA20, 113 nucleotides long. It matches the Rfam family "epsC RNA". The record is from Rfam. NCBI's taxonomy places the organism in Bacteria, Bacillati, Bacillota, Bacilli, Caryophanales, Paenibacillaceae.